RNAcentral lists this ribosomal RNA (468 nucleotides) under uncultured bacterium. RNAcentral's name for it is "partial 16S ribosomal RNA". It matches the Rfam family "Bacterial small subunit ribosomal RNA", at positions 28 to 507 of the family's 1533-position model. The record is from RNAcentral.
GACGAACGCUGGCGGCGUGCUUAACACAUGCAAGUCGAACGGAAAGGCCCUGCUUUUGUGGGGUGCUCGAGUGGCGAACGGGUGAGUAACACGUGAGUAACCUGCCCUUGACUUUGGGAUAACUUCAGGAAACUGGGGCUAAUACCGGAUAGGAGCUCCUGCUGCAUGGUGGGGGUUGGAAAGUUUCGGCGGUUGGGGAUGGACUCGCGGCUUAUCAGCGUGUUGGUGGGGUAGUGGCUUACCAAGGCUUUGACGGGUAGCCGGCCUGAGAGGGUGACCGGCCACCUUGGGACUGAGAGAGGGCGCAGACGGCUACGGGGGGCAGCAGUGGGGAAUAUGGCGCAGCGGGGGGAAGCCUGAGGCAGCAACGCCGCGUGCGGAAUGACGGCCUUCGGGUUGUAAACCGCUUACGCCUGUGACGAAGCGUGAGUGACGGUAAUGGGUAAAGAAGCACCGGCUAACUACGUG